RNAcentral lists this ribosomal RNA (497 nucleotides) under uncultured bacterium. RNAcentral's name for it is "partial 16S ribosomal RNA". It matches the Rfam family "Bacterial small subunit ribosomal RNA", at positions 28 to 507 of the family's 1533-position model. The record is from RNAcentral.
GACGAACGCUGGCGGCGUGCCUAAUACAUGCAAGUUGAGCGCUGAAGGUUGGUACUUGUACCAACUGGAUGAGCAGCGAACGGGUGAGUAACGCGUGGGGAAUCUGCCUUUGAGCGGGGGACAACAUUUGGAAACGAAUGCUAAUACCGCAUAAAAACUUUAAACACAAGUUUUAAGUUUGAAAGAUGCAAUUGCAUCACUCAAAGAUGAUCCCGCGUUGUAUUAGCUAGUUGGUGAGGUAAAGGCUCACCAAGGCGAUGAUACAUAGCCGACCUGAGAGGGUGAUCGGCCACAUUGGGACUGAGACACGGCCCAAACUCCUAGGGGAGGCAGCAGUAGGGAAUCUUCGGCAAUGGACGAAAGUCUGACCGAGCAACGCCGCGUGAGUGAAGAAGGUUUUCGGAUCGUAAAACUCUGUUGGUAGAGAAGAACGUUGGUGAGAGUGGAAAGCUCAUCAAGUGACGGUAACUACCCAGAAAGGGACGGCUAACUACGUG